Molecule: transfer RNA, 68 nt
Filed under: Marmota monax (woodchuck)
Lineage: Eukaryota; Metazoa; Chordata; Mammalia; Rodentia; Sciuridae
Description: tRNA.Ala
Rfam family: tRNA (bases 4-62)
About the family: Transfer RNA (tRNA) molecules are approximately 80 nucleotides in length. Their secondary structure includes four short double-helical elements and three loops (D, anti-codon, and T loops).
Source: RNAcentral
ACAGUAGCUUAGUGGUAAAGCACUUGCCUAGCAGGUAUGAGGCCCUGUGUUCAAACCCCAGCACUGAA